This 418-nucleotide ribosomal RNA is filed under the name Trichonympha campanula. Its description in RNAcentral is "bacterial SSU rRNA". It matches the Rfam family "Eukaryotic small subunit ribosomal RNA", at positions 1380 to 1830 of the family's 1831-position model. The record is from RNAcentral. Lineage: Eukaryota; Parabasalia; Trichonymphida; Trichonymphidae.
UUAGCAAUUACUAGACAAUAGUGAAAGCUUCUAUUUGGGACUACCUGUUUUCAAGCGGGAGGAAGAGGGUAGCAAUAACAGGUCCGUGAUGUCCUUUAGAUGCUCUGGGCUGCACGCGUGCUACAAUGUGAAUCACAAAGGAUUAAUAAUUCGAAAGAAUGCAUCACUUCUUCAAAGAUUCACGUAGCUGGGAUUGACAUUUGGAAUGAUUGUCAUGAACCAGGAAUCCCUUGUAAAUGUAUGUCAACACCGUACGUUGAAUACGUCCCUGCCCUUUGUACACACCGCCCGUCGCUCCUACCGAUUGGACGUUUUGGUGAAAAUACUGGACUUAAAAGGAAGGUAUUUAAAUCAGCUCGUCUAGAGGAAGGAGAAGUCGUAACAAGGUAACGGUAGGUGAACCUGCCGUUGGAUCAGU